AUUGAACGCUGGCGGCAUGCUUUACACAUGCAAGUCGAACGGCAGCACGGACUUCGGUCUGGUGGCGAGUGGCGAACGGGUGAGUAAUACAUCGGAACGUGCCCAGUUGUGGGGGAUAACUACUCGAAAGAGUAGCUAAUACCGCAUGAGAACUGAGGUUGAAAGCAGGGGAUCGUAAGACCUUGCGCAACUGGAGCGGCCGAUGGCAGAUUAGGUAGUUGGUGGGAUAAAAGCUUACCAAGCCGACGAUCUGUAGCUGGUCUGAGAGGACGACCAGCCACACUGGGACUGAGACACGGCCCAGACUCCUACGGGAGGCAGCAGUGGGGAAUUUUGGACAAUGGGCGAAAGCCUGAUCCAGCAAUGCCGCGUGCAGGAUGAAGGCCCUCGGGUUGUAAACUGCUUUUGUACGGAACGAAAAGCUUCGGGUUAAUACCCUGGAGUCAUGACGGUACCGUAAGAAUAAGCACCGGCUAACUACGUGCCAGCCGCCGCCGUAA
This 500-nucleotide ribosomal RNA is filed under the name uncultured bacterium. Its description in RNAcentral is "partial 16S ribosomal RNA". It matches the Rfam family "Bacterial small subunit ribosomal RNA", at positions 30 to 523 of the family's 1533-position model. The record is from RNAcentral.